This is a non-coding RNA of Electrophorus electricus (electric eel), 347 nucleotides long. Lineage: Eukaryota; Metazoa; Chordata; Actinopteri; Gymnotiformes; Gymnotidae. The record is from RefSeq and is a predicted model, not a curated record.
UAAUAAAAUUUCUUUGGCCAGGGGCAAGACUAUUACCGGGUACAGCCAAGGUAAUAGGAUUGUCACUGAGGAGAGCCUCCAAAAGCACUUCCUCACCUACAGCCUGCCACCUUAAACCAGCAUCUCAGGGUACUGCACAUACGAAAAAAAUAGAAGCGAAUACUGCUUAUAUAUUUGCUUGGAGAGAUGCCCAGAAGCUUGUGAAAGAAGUCUUGGAUUCCAAGUCGAUCAGUGCCCCAGGAUCUCAGAAGGACAACACCAUGGAUCACAAGACAAAAUACACACAGAUGGCUCACCAGCAGGCAGCAGCUUCAAACAUCCUGACUUGGCCAAAACAUCAAUCAAAC